UACAGAGGUGGCAAGCGUUGUUCGGAAUUACUGGGCGUAAAGGGCGCGUAGGCGGCUUCGUAAGUCUCGUGUGAAAGCCCUCGGCUUAACUGAGGAUCUGCACGGGAUACUGUGAGGCUUGAGUUCGGGAGAGGAAAGCGGAAUUCCGGGUGUAGCGGUGAAAUGCGUAGAUAUCCGGAGGAACACCAGAGGCGAAGGCGGCUUUCUGGACCGACACUGACGCUGAGGCGCGAAAGCUAGGGGAGCAAACGGG
Molecule: ribosomal RNA, 253 nt
Filed under: uncultured bacterium
Lineage: Bacteria
Description: partial 16S ribosomal RNA
Rfam family: Bacterial small subunit ribosomal RNA
Source: RNAcentral